RNAcentral lists this ribosomal RNA (465 nucleotides) under uncultured bacterium. Its description in RNAcentral is "partial 16S ribosomal RNA". It matches the Rfam family "Bacterial small subunit ribosomal RNA", at positions 28 to 507 of the family's 1533-position model. The record is from RNAcentral.
GACGAACGCUGGCGGCGUGCUUAACACAUGCAAGUCGAACGGAAAGGCCCCUUUGGGGGUACUCGAGUGGCGAACGGGGGAGUAACACGUGAGUAACCUGCCCUUGACUUCGGGAUAACUUCAGGAAACUGGGGCUAAUACCGGAUAGGAAUCCUUGCUGCAUGGUGGGGGUUGGAAAGUUUCGGCGGUUUUGGAUGGACUCGCGGCUUAUCAGCUUGUUGGUGGGGUAGUGGCUUACCAAGGCUUCGACGGGUAGCCGGCCUGAGAGGGCGACCGGCCACAUUGGGACUGAGAUAAGGCCCAGACUCCGACGGGAGGCAGCAGUGGGGAAGAUUGCACAAUGGGCGGAGGCCUGAUGCAGCAACGCCGCGUGCGGGAUGACGGCCUUCGGGUUGUAAACCGCUUUCGGCAGGGGCGAAGCUUGUGGUGACGGUACCUGCAGAAGAAGCACCGGCUAACUACGUG